This 250-nucleotide ribosomal RNA is filed under the name uncultured bacterium. RNAcentral describes it as "partial 16S ribosomal RNA". It matches the Rfam family "Bacterial small subunit ribosomal RNA", at positions 525 to 774 of the family's 1533-position model. The record is from RNAcentral.
ACGGAGGGGGCUAGCGUUGUUCGGAAUUACUGGGCGUAAAGGGCGCGCAGGUGGCUUGUCGAGUCAGGCGUGAAAGGCCCGGGCUUAACCCGGGAACGGCGCUUGAUACUGACGAGCUUGAGAUCGGGAGAGGAGAGUGGAAUUCCCAGUGUAGAGGUGAAAUUCGUAGAUAUUGGGAGGAACACCAGUGGCGAAGGCGGCUUUCUGGACGAUAACUGACGCUGAGGCGCGGAAGCGUGGGGAGCAAACA